AGCUGGAGCGGAAGGGAGUGGGGCUUUGUGAAUCCCAGAUUCGGCUGAACGUUCAAGGCAGAGGGAAAGGCAGACACAGAGCAGGAAAGACGUACAUUGCUACUCAGAAAUGAUACACUUGGUGCCGCCAUCAUCCUUAGUAACAAAAGGUGAGCCAUUAAAGGGGAAAAAUGUUGACCUACAGCUGUGUGCUCUGCUCUUCUGUGCCAUUAGUGUACCGAAUAUCUUACCAGACUUAUUCUUCUGCACAAUGUGAAGGGAACUUCAUCCUGAAGCUAGAAAACAAGAGACAAAAAAUCCUGACGGCUGCUUCAGGAGGAGCAGGAACAGGCUUUCUGCCAACUACUAAAUAAAAGUUAACGCAUAGACUGGAUCCAUUGGCUGAAGGAUUGUGCUACAUGCUGGAUCAUUAUACCAGAUGGGUCAUUACUAAACCACCUGCUGUGGGUAUUUCAUUAUGGCAAGCUUUAUACUUCAGUUAAAAAAAUUACAUGAGAGCACAAAACUGGCUCUAAGUGGCAUUACUUACAUUUACAUCUGUGUGGUGAAUUAAAACACAGAGCGCUGGAAGGAUCUAAGGAGGGA
Molecule: long non-coding RNA, 585 nt
Organism: Neopsephotus bourkii (Bourke's parrot)
Lineage: Eukaryota; Metazoa; Chordata; Aves; Psittaciformes; Psittacidae
Exons: 3
Source: RefSeq, a predicted model, not a curated record